GUGCGCRAGGCGUCCUGUGCGGAGCCUCAGUGCACGCUGGGAGAGAGAGAGAGAGCGAGAGAGAGAGAGGGAGAUCCCUCCGCCGGGGUUAACCCUCUCCGGCCCGGGCUCGCUCCAGAAGGGAGCACGUGGGGCGAGUUCAGAGGGCUCUUCCUUCCUGGACUCCCUGCGCGGGACUGUCAGGGACAGUUUGUUAUGGUAUGCACAGAGAGAGCGAGAGAGGGACCGCUUUGCCCACUGGAGGGCUCCCGUCGGGGCACGUGCCGCCUCCAGGGCUCUGCCACUGUGGCCUGCGGAGGGAGGGCCCAGGGCGCCCCCCAGCGGCGCGACACGGGUUUCCUCGCGUCUCGUCUGAACACGCAGCGCCUCUUGGUUCCACCAGGGCUUUUUAAAAAAUUGUUUGUUUUGGCAAACCUUUCUGUGAGCCAUCAGAAGCGACUCGAGACCUUUGUGACCCAGAGAUGGGCACUGAGUGGACCCCACUUUCCUCCUCCUGGGGUGGAGAAGGCAACCUAUUUUCAUUCCUUUCCCCAAAAUGUGCCACAAGCUGGCCCAGCGCAUCUCUAUCCUCUUCUUGGAAUGGGUUGCUGAAAGUGUAGUGUUUUCUCUCCAAUCCCCUUGGCAGAAGAUUCCAAAAAAACAGCACCCCAGGAAUCGGCAAGUUUCCUUCCUUCAUCGGUCUUCACCUGCCGGCUACACACAGAGGAGGGUGUGAAAAGGGUAACAAGGAUCAUAACAAUCCAAAAUGAUACCAUCCUUAUUAUAAUUUAAACCACUUCCGUAAUCUGAUACUGGCUGAACAACAGGCAACAGUUGGUGUGUAUUGCAAGCACUAAAGAUGUGCCCUGAGUCCAUGUCCCUCCCGAGGGUGAAAAAGACGGGGUACAAAUGUACGAAAUAAAUAAAAUACUUAUGUGUAUAAUGGGUAGCAUUUGGGUAAGCACAAUUUCACAUAUGAACACUAUUGUUUGUGAUACAGUAUUUUUAAAAGAGAGGUUGAGAAGAGGAAUGCACCAAAUGUAUAAUAGUAUUCUCUGAAAUAUAUGCCUUUUAUGUCCUCUAAACACAGGGGGGUUGUUUUUUAAAAAAACCUGCCAUGAGCAUGAUUAAAAGUUUAACAACCCUUUAACAAAAUACUGUUUCAAGAAGCCAGGCUCAGGAGUGCAGACUUGGUACAUGUUGUGUAUUUCCAAAGCACAUAACUCUGACCUCAGUAACAGUAUUCAUUAGCACUUAGCAGCUGUCUAUUCAAGAUAGAAUCCUACUCUGCGAUGUAGACAAAUCAAAACCAAAGUAAAGGUUAGGAACUGGCACUGCAGCGUAAACACAAAUGUACCAAAUGCAGGAAAAUACACCACAGCUGUCUUCACUCAUUUCAUUAUUCACAAUACAGAUCUUCUAAUUAAGAGAGUAUCAGUAAAACACAACUCUAAAUUUUAAGCACUAACUUCAGCAGCUCAUAAAGCUUAGACCAGGCAGCCUCAAACUUUGGCCCUCCAGCUGUUUGGGCCUCCAACUCCCAGAAGCCCCAACGAGCUUGUUCAGGAAUUCUGAGAGUUGAAGGCCCAAACAGCUGGAGGGCUGCAGUUUGAAGAUGCCUGGCUUAAACUAUAGGCAGUAAUUUACAAAAAAAUAGAAGCAACCCAAUCUUGGGCCAUAAUUUCUCGAUCAACAAAUAAAUCCUUACCUUUCUAGAGAUAAAUCAGCUUUAUUGCCAACGAGCACUACAGGCAUCCUGCCAAGAAAAAAGAAAGACAUUUCUAAAGAUGGCUUCCUGAAUGGUAAGCGGAGGUUUCAUUCCAUGUAUCCUAAACUUCAACAACUAUUUCCAGUAACCACCCAUCUUGAAAUCAAAGCAUGGAAAAGUUACUUUUUGUACCCCAGCUUCCAGAAUCUCCUAGCCAACACAGGCAAAAUCUUCCCGACCCAGAGCUAAUUCCCUAAUAAGAGCUGGCAAGUGAAUGUCUCUGGCACUUUGGUUAGAACAGUGGUUCUCAACGUGUGGUUCCCCAGGUGUUUUGGCCUACAACUCCCAGAAAUCCCAGGCAGUUUACCAGCUGUUAAGAUUUCUGGGAGUUGAAGGCCAAAACAUCUGGGGACCCACAGGUUGAGAACCACUGGGUUAGAAGAACCUGUAUUUGGCCCCAGUGACUUGAGACAUUUUGUAACCUAUCACAGUCAAAUCUAAGCUCUCAAGCACUGGGCAAUUAAACACACAUAACUUCCCUACUCUCCUGCCACAUUUCAGGCCUGCCUGGGACUCAAAGAAUGGCCUGACAAAUAUUACCAUCCAGAUGUGAUGACAUUAGGAUUAUUUGCCAGGUAAGAAAAUGUACUCUGCAUAUCCUUAGUAGAAGCCCAUCCUGCUAAUCUGGAGUUUGCUUCCAGAAAGUACUGAAUAUAUCUGAACAAAUUUUACUGGAAUCGAAAAAAAAAGUGCUGAGGAUAUGAAUUAAUUUGUGCAAUUUUCCAGGCCUUGCGCUGAAGUGGUUUGACUAAUUUUUAUUGUUUUGAUCUGUACAUAGCAUUUUACUCCUUGCUAACAAUGUGCAACCACCUAUAAGUCGGUAUUCUUUUUCUCUUAUUUUUCUUCUUCUUUUAGAUUUGGUACCUUUUGGAAACAAACUCCACAUACAUUCUGCAACAAUGUAACUUCUGUUAUAAUAGCCUUGUAGAAGUACAGCCUACCUACAAAACGCCUCCAAGUCCUGUGACUCCAAAGCAGGCAUGGGUGUUUUGGACGUCAGCUCCCAGAAAUCCUAGAAAUUACUGGCUGUUAAGAAUUGUGAGCGUUGAAGUCCAAAACACCUGGAGGGCCAGUUUGCCCAUGCCUGCUCUAAAGUCAUUCUCAGUUUACAUCCAGGUCAGGAAAAAGCCAAAAAGCACCUUUCCUGACGUAAGCACAGCAGAAAGCGCUACAGAUCUCACUUCAGAUUCGAACCUUGCAACUGGAGACUCAGACUUCACCACCUGAAAACUGCAAAAGACAAGAGGAAGAAUGACACAAUGAUGCUUCUUUUCACACACGCAUACAAGUACACACAAGUCUAUGCCACAUAGUCCUGAAUCCUAGUGACUCUGCAUUGAAGGGAUACAAUAAAGCCACUCUGUUAAAUUUAAACAAUAUAAAUGCUACAAAUGAUCUUAAAAGGUUACAAAUAUAUUACAAAAUUUUAAAAGUUAAAAAGACAGAUCAAGAAAAUGAAAAGAGUUUUAAAACAAAAUAAAACCAUGCGCAUGCAGGAGUUUGAGUGAAAUUAGACCCCGAAAGUGGCUAUGUUUUCAUUUGGCCCAUAAACAACAGCCAGGGUGGGGGCCAAUCAGGCCUCAAACGAGAGACAGGGCCUUCUCGGUGGUGGCCCCCCGGCUGUGGAACGCCCUUCCCACGGACAUCAGAUUGGCUCCCUCCUUAUUGGUAUUCCGGAGAAAGGUGAAAACAUGGCUAUUCGAACAGGCGUUUGAAUAAGCAGUGCAAUGACUUCAGGAAUGGAACUACGACUGACAAGUUUGGAUCAUGAUUCUAGUUAUGAGACGCCACUUGAAUGUUUAUUACUGAUAAAUUGUUUAAUUUGUUUCUGUGCUAAUUGUUUUUAAGUAUCUGUUGAUGUCGCAUUGAAUUCUUGCCUUGACUGUUGCUCUGUUCUUGCUUGAUUGUUGUAAACCGCUAUGAGUCGCCUUAGGGCUGAGAAUGGCGGUAUACAAGUGAAGUCAAUAAAUAAAUAAAUAAAUAAAUACACGUGCAACUGUGAAAGCACAACAA
This is a non-coding RNA of Anolis sagrei ordinatus, 3760 nucleotides long. Lineage: Eukaryota; Metazoa; Chordata; Lepidosauria; Squamata; Anolidae. The record is from RefSeq and is a predicted model, not a curated record.